Molecule: ribosomal RNA, 253 nt
Filed under: uncultured prokaryote
Description: partial 16S ribosomal RNA
Rfam family: Bacterial small subunit ribosomal RNA
Source: RNAcentral
ACAGAGGGGGCAAGCGUUGUUCGGAGUUACUGGGCGUAAAGCGUGCGUAGGCGGUUUUGUAAGUUUGGUGUGAAAUCUCCCGGCUCAACUGGGAGGGUGCGCCGAAAACUGCAAGGCUGGAGUGUGGGAGAGGUAGGCGGAAUUCCUGGUGUAGCGGUGUAAUGCGUAGAUAUCAGGAGGAACACCUGUGGUGUAGACGGCUUACUGGACCAUAACUGACGCUGAGGCACGAAAGCGUGGGGAGCAAACGGGA